CCGAGAAUAUUCGACAAUGGACGAAAGUCUGAUCGAGCGAUACCGCGUGAUCGAUGAAGUGCUUCGGCACGUAAAGAUCUUUUAUGAAUGAGAAAUAUAUGAUGUUAGUUCAUGAAUAAGGGGCUCCUAACUCUGUGCCAGCAGGAGCGGUAAUACAGAGGCCCCAAGCGUUACCCGGAAUCACUGGGCGUAAAGGGUGUGUAGGCGGUUGUGUUAGUCGUGUUUUAAAACCUGGUGCUUAACACCAGAUCGGGACACGAAACGGCACAACUCGAGUGUGGCAGAGGUCUGUGGAAUUCUACGUGUAGGGGUAAAAUCCGUUGAUAUGUAGGAGAACACCAAAUGCGAAGGCAGCAGACUGGGCCAUAACUGACGCUCAAACACGAAAGCGUGGGUAGCG
Molecule: ribosomal RNA, 400 nt
Filed under: uncultured bacterium
Lineage: Bacteria
Description: bacterial SSU rRNA
Rfam family: Bacterial small subunit ribosomal RNA
Source: RNAcentral